CGGGACUGCUCAGAAGCCACGGGAGAAGUCAAUUCAAUGUAAUCGACACCAAAGUUGUCCAAUGCCUUAGCAAUUUGAAUUUUCUUCUCGGUGUCGAAAAAAGCGUUUGCGAAUUGCUCACCUUCACGAAGAGUAGACUCAAUAAUGGAAAAGUUAUUGACACGUGAAAGAAAAUCAGAUGGGUUGGGACCAUAAGGGUUUCCAUUCAUAGGAGGCUUGAUGGUCUCAGUACCAUUAGCUUCGGACACAGACAUGUUGAUGACUUUAAAAUGCAAAAAAAGGAAAAGGAAAAGCGAAUUUUCUAAAAUGAAUUAAGUAUAAAUAUAUAAAUUAUACAAUUCAACAACUUAUUGUCCCGAAACCUGUUAGCUUUGAAUUUUUUAAGCUAAAUCUUUUAUCACUGUAGAGGAGACAACUAAGAGCAAGGAUGCACGUAUGUAUGAAUUUCAAAAAAUUCGACCCUACCCUAUUUAUUUACUGAAAGAAACAGUCACUACCAACUCGUAGGCAACCGCGGUAAUUUAUGGUAGAAAAUUGA
This is a non-coding RNA of Schizosaccharomyces pombe (fission yeast), 538 nucleotides long. The record is from the annotation of a GenBank genome assembly. Lineage: Eukaryota; Fungi; Ascomycota; Schizosaccharomycetes; Schizosaccharomycetales; Schizosaccharomycetaceae.